RNAcentral lists this long non-coding RNA (945 nucleotides) under Trifolium pratense (red clover). RNAcentral's name for it is "long non-coding RNA (TPRA_LNC011387)". Lineage: Eukaryota; Viridiplantae; Streptophyta; Magnoliopsida; Fabales; Fabaceae. The record is from RNAcentral.
UGCUGCAUAUCACUUAUAAAACUGAUUAAUACCAAGUGCAUGAACAAGGGAAUGGAAAUUACUCUUGUAGCAGGCGUGCCAAUACACCAUUCUUGAUAGGUACUUGAGGAAUAAGCUGCAUUCAUGACACAAGAUAUUCAAAGACGUUUUCUCCUCUUUGCUGAAUCUCAUUUCAGUUAGCAAAGAAGGAAUAUGCGGAGAAUACCUCUUCAAUAAUGAAACGGAGCAUAAUGUAGAGGAGGACUAUUUUUUACAAGAAAAAGGCUAAAAAAAAUAGUGUGAAUGUAACUGUAUGCCUCAGACUGAGGUAACACACUUUAAUCUUCCCUCGAAUAAACUUCUCAAGGAGUAGCUCAGAACAUGCUUCAGAAAUACACCCAAAAGGAUACUCGUUUUACACCUCUCUACUUCCGUUUUAUGAUUCAAGGGACAAAUGUGACAAAACAAUUCUAUUUGAAACCCAUACACGUUCUUCCAUCGUCAUGUUAAAUAUGUUGUGAUGAAGGAAUAAAAUUUAUGAAUGAGGAGAUCAGCAUUCAAGAGGAAAAAAGAGAGUUUUCCAAGAUGAAAAGAGAACAAGAAAUGCAUUCCCAUUCAAGGGCAAAGACAAAAUAUAGGUCAGAAAAACUGGGAUGGAAAAGAAAUCAGCAAGAGAUAAGGAGGAAACAAAAUCAGAAAGAAGAUAGCAUCUAAGACAUUGAAUAGACAAAAAGCUGAAGAGAUCUGUAAGUUAGAAAGACAGUGUAUGGCAUGCAUUAACAGAACAAAAUUAUCACUACAUCGUUUGGGAUUUUGAAUGAAUAAAUAGCUAGACAAGGAUGGGCUUGGCAUAACCAACCAUAAUCAGAAUAUAGAAUCAUUACGUGAUAUUUUUACUGGAUAAGUCCUACCAAAAUCCUAAACUUGAUUGAAAUAAAAUACAAACUAUUUGCAUAUAAUUUGAGU